AUUGAACGCUGGCGGAAUGCUUUACACAUGCAAGUCGAACGGUAGAGGGGGCAACCCCUUGAGAGUGGCGAACGGGUGAGUAAUAUAUCGGAACGUGCCCAGUCGUGGGGGAUAACGUAGUGAAAAUUACGCUAAUACCGCAUACGAUCUAAGGAUGAAAGCGGGGGAUCGCAAGACCUCGCGCGACUGGAGCGGCCGAUAUCAGAUUAGGUAGUUGGUAGGGUAAAGGCCUACCAAGCCAACGAUCUGUAGCUGGUCUGAGAGGACGACCAGCCACACUGGAACUGAGACACGGUCCAGACUCCUACGGGAGGCAGCAGUGGGGAAUUUUGGACAAUGGGCGAAAGCCUGAUCCAGCCAUUCCGCGUGCAGGAUGAAGGCCCUCGGGUUGUAAACUGCUUUUGUACAGAACGAAAAGGUUUCUAUUAAUACUAGGAGCUCAUGACGGUACUGUAAGAAUAAGCACCGGCUAACUACGUGCCAGCAGCCGCGGUAAUACGUAGGGUGCAAGCGUUAAUCGGAAUUACUGGGCGUAAAGCGUGCGCAGGCGGUUAUAUAAGUCAGAUGUGAAAUCCCCGGGCUCAACCUGGGAACUGCAUUUGAGACUGUAUAGCUAGAGUACGGUAGAGGGGGAUGGAAUUCCGCGUGUAGCAGUGAAAUGCGUAGAUAUGCGGAGGAACACCGAUGGCGAAGGCA
This 696-nucleotide ribosomal RNA is filed under the name Pseudomonadota bacterium. RNAcentral's name for it is "bacterial SSU rRNA". It matches the Rfam family "Bacterial small subunit ribosomal RNA", at positions 28 to 723 of the family's 1533-position model. Lineage: Bacteria; Pseudomonadati; Pseudomonadota. The record is from RNAcentral.